GUAAAGAGUUGGAAACAUCGUGCAGAGAUCCUUUCCAUGGAAUGAUACAGAUCCCCACGUUCCAGGCGUUCUUCCAGAGAUUCAUAGAUUCCCAGUCUGGGUGGCUGGGUGGCGAGCCAACCGUGUUUGUGACUCUGACUUUAGACGGAUUGCCAGGAUCAUCUUCUUCAUCUUCAUGGUGCUGUGCAGCAUCCUUUUCUCCUACCAUCCUUCCAUGAUGCUGGCCUAGACCUGAACACAUGCUAUCAAUUAGCACACCUUUCUGCUGAUCUGACUCUGUUGGCUGAAUCCCUUGCUGCUGACCCUGGUGUUUAUGGUUUCCCUCCACCUCUACACUACAGGAUUGUUCCUGCUACGGUUUGCAUGGAUGCUUCCACUCAAACAGAGACUUCUUCUGUUGUUUCCUCUGUGAAUAAUUUUGAGCUUACUGAUGAGGACAUGGCUUUCUCUGGGGCUGACCCUGACUUUAACCCUACUUCAGAUUCUCUCAGUCCUACUCCGUCCUCA
This is a long non-coding RNA of Ictalurus punctatus (channel catfish), 507 nucleotides long. The record is from Ensembl. Lineage: Eukaryota; Metazoa; Chordata; Actinopteri; Siluriformes; Ictaluridae.